UCUCCAAUUAACCACCAAAAAGCUGGAAGUAGAGGUGUGGUUCAAGUAAUAGAGCCCCAGCCUGGAGUGAAAAAAGCUAAGGGACAGUGUCCAGGCUCUGAGUUCAAGCCCUAGAACCAGUACACACAUAUACCCAAAAAACCCAGGACCUCAUUUCCUGACCUCAUGUUUAAAACACACAAAGAAUCAAGGCCUUAUUUAUUCAGUCCCCUAUUUCUUUCCAUUUCCCAACAGCUGUCUACUACCUGUUUAAUGUACUGAGUCAUUAGAUCAUCGCACAUCACUUUUUAAACAAAAUACACCCAAGGCUGGCCUACUUUCCUUGCUAUUUUCUUCUAAAGCCAACACAUAAUAAAUAACAACCACUGAUAUGUAAAAUGUCUCUCUGGGAACCACCUAAAAUCACCUCACUGCUCUUACUGAGAAACACCCAUUCAUUCAGGAAACAAUGACUGUAAGGAUUUGCUCCUGUCAGCUUCAACCUCAGCUCCUUCAAAAAGAGAUGUGGGAAAGCACUUCCAACAGGCUCCUCCCAGCCUGAGAAUCCAGGCCACAGCCUCCAGUUCUCACUGAGGGCCAGGUCUUAUCCAAAUGAUGACAAAACGCCAACACAUCCCCUGAUAUGUCAACUGUGUGACAGGGCACUGAUCUGAGAUGAAGCCAGGAAGCUACCUCAAACUGUUAGCAUACUCUACCAAAGCAGGGAGCUCAGAAAAAUGUGUGUGUGUGUGUGUGUGUGUAUGUGUGU
Perognathus longimembris pacificus (Pacific pocket mouse) is the source of this 748-nucleotide long non-coding RNA. RefSeq lists it as uncharacterized. Lineage: Eukaryota; Metazoa; Chordata; Mammalia; Rodentia; Heteromyidae. The transcript is spliced from 3 exons. The record is from RefSeq and is a predicted model, not a curated record.